This 253-nucleotide ribosomal RNA is filed under the name uncultured prokaryote. Its description in RNAcentral is "partial 16S ribosomal RNA". It matches the Rfam family "Bacterial small subunit ribosomal RNA", at positions 524 to 776 of the family's 1533-position model. The record is from RNAcentral.
UACGGAGGAUGCAAGCGUUAUCCGGAAUGAUUGGGCGUAAAGCGUCCGCAGGUGGCACUGAAAGUCUGCUGUCAAAGGGUCUGGCUUAACCAGAUAAAGGCAGUGGAAACUACAGAGCUAGAGUACGUUCGGGGCAGAGGGAAUUCCUGGUGUAGCGGUGAAAUGCGUAGAGAUCAGGAAGAACACCGGUGGCGAAAGCGCUCUACUAGGCCAUCACUGACACUGAGGGACGAAAGCUAGGGGAGCGAAUGGG